RNAcentral lists this long non-coding RNA (688 nucleotides) under Homo sapiens (human). RNAcentral's name for it is "uncharacterized LOC105372753, transcript variant 6 (LOC105372753)". The record is from RNAcentral. Lineage: Eukaryota; Metazoa; Chordata; Mammalia; Primates; Hominidae.
AAUUCCACCUGCAACCCUAAUUCCCUUUGUUACGUAGCAUAACAUAUUGACAGGUUCUCAGGACGUCUUUAGCAGGGGCCUUUAUUCUGCCAAUCACAUGAUCUCUAUGAAUCUGCUUCUUGUUUUUUUUUAAUUGGGUGACAUUAAAUUCUGAUUUCUUUCUUUCUUUUUUUUUUUUCUCUAGGGAGUCGUCUCUCAAGAGGACUUGAUCUCUGGCCUGUGAACUGCCCCACAUGUUUCUUCUGCACAUCCUGACUCCCAGGCCUGCACAGGGGACUUCUGCACAGGCCUGACUCCCAGGCCUGACAUUUUCUGGUCUGUCUUCGCCAUGGUCUGCUAUCAACUGCAGUUUUGAAUUCUGGUUUCUCUUAUUCUUUGUCUCUAGGCAAGUCAACAGGUUCAGCAGCCAGAGUCCUAUCCUGUACUUCUCUUCACGUUGCAGACAUCCACGAAAGAGUGAGACUGUUUUCGGUUGGAUUGAAGAGCAAAUGUGUGGAAGGCACCAAGAGACAGGAUCUCACUAUGUUUCCCAAGUUGGUCUUGAACUUCUGGCCUCAAGCAAUUCUCUUGCCUUGGCCUCCCAAAAUUCUGGAAUUAUAGGCAUGAGUCACCAGAAACGGCCCACUUUAUUUACUUCUGUGAUGCCUAUACAUUGUGUUAUCAAUAAAACUUGAGAUUCUGUAACUGA